Molecule: RNA transcript, 4798 nt
Organism: Hippocampus zosterae (dwarf seahorse)
Lineage: Eukaryota; Metazoa; Chordata; Actinopteri; Syngnathiformes; Syngnathidae
Gene name: protein FAM83H-like
Exons: 5
Source: RefSeq, a predicted model, not a curated record
AUUUGUAAGGCCCGCCAGCCAGCUGAACAAACCUGCUCCCGGUAGAGCCCCGGGCGAGGCGUGUUUCGUGUGUGUGUUUGGGUCGCAGGUACAACAGGUUGUGAUCCACAAACUCGGUCGCCGGAAGCCAUGCGGGACUUGACGCCAGCACUCUGCUAAUUCCCCCCCAGCUAAGAAGAACCCAGUUGGCCCUCAAAUGAAAGAUAAGUUCUGGCAAGUUGUACCGUGUGUGUGUGUGUGUGUGCGUAUGUCUGUGUGUGUUCCAGGGAAAGACUCGCCCCGCGUUGUUUACUCACGCUGGACCGACCGGUUCUGGCGUCUUUGCUCAACGUAUUAGCGACCGGUUUAGCUUAACGUCUGCAAAAAAAAAAAAAAAAGCCAAGACGAAAACGAAGGAGAAAGCAACUGGAAUCCUGACACCACGGAACUCAUUCUUGCGGAUGACAAGCAUGUGAGCGCAACUUCGUCAUCUUCGACAUCAAACGAGGGAGUCUGAGUCUUCAAGCAUCGAACCGGAGGGGUCGACCUGUAACCUGGUAGAAUGGACUCGUGGUUUUGCCUGACUUGACUUUGGAACCUGGACUCGGAGGAUUCGAAAAGUUCUCUUGAAGAACUAUUGAUUUGCUGGAGUGGACUUGUAGACCCGUUGACUUUUUCUGGGAAAAAAAAAACUUCACAAAGUUUUUUCCUGAGGAACAAUUUCAUUUUUUGGGGGGGGGGGGAAACACCAUUUGACUCUGGUCGCACAACAACUAAAACUAUCCACAUACGUACGUGUGGUAGACAGGACGCGUGUCCUGGCAUGAGUGUACUUACCCGGACGAGGGAUCCGGCCUUGACGGUGGAGCACCGCGCAUACUUCACAGCAUGCCCGAGCAGACUUGGUGGAGUUAAGACUUGAAGGAGUAGACUUGUAAACUUGCUCGUCCGUCACCUUUGUGGGGUGAACUUGCAGACAUGGGAGUCUCGCAGACUUAAAGGGCACAUGAUGGACAACAACUUGUAGCCCUUUCAGAGGGGACUUGUGGACUUGGCAUGGAAGACCCUUUGACCUGGACAGUUAACAAUCGCAAGAGUGGACUUUGCGACAAUGAGAAGUCGACUCGAGGACAAGGACGAGUAGACACGUACACCCGAUGAAGUGGACUUGCAGACUCGAUAGAACUGCAAUAGUGCUCGAGCAGACUUGACGGAGUGAACUCUUUGCAAGAUUGUAGACUCGGUGGAGUGGGCUGGAAGUCUCGAUGGUGUCGGUAAAGUGGACUUAAAGACGGUGGACUCGCGGCCCCUUUGUCGAGAGAAGUUGUCGAGUCGCAACAUUGACACUUGCUGACAUCGAAAAAUGUAGUCCUUCUCAAGUGCACUUGUGGACCUGAGAAGGAGCGAGUGGACGUUCCGAUUCGGUGGACAGCCCCGAAGAGUAGACUUUGAGACCGAGAAGGUUGGACGGCUGCCGGAAAGCGAUGACAUCCAGGGAGUCGGUGUGGUCGGGCUUUUCUGCUCUGAAGGACAACGAUCCUCCUCCUUACAUCCAUCCUCACUACAAGGAGACCUACCGUCUGGCCAUCUACGCGUUGCUCUGCGGCGGCAAGGAGGCCUACGACGACUUCCUCCAGGCCGAGCAGAUCAACCACUUCCUGUCCGAGAAGGAGAUCCGCUUCAUCCUGGAGAGUGCCGAGCCCCCCCAGGCGGAGGACGACGACAACGACGACGUUGACGCGGUGGGGCUGCGCCCCGGAGGCAGGCCGGGCCCUUCCACCUACUUCCCGCAGGAGUCGGACGAGGAGGUGCCCGACCUGGACCUGGGCUGGCCCGAGACGGCCCCGGAGGACCAGGACACCAGCAUCAGUUUACUCUUUCAGCCGCCCAGGGCCAACACGCCCACCAUCAAGGAGGUGGUCCGUAAGCAGAUCCAGGACGCCAAGCAGGUGGUCGCCAUCGCGAUGGACGUCUUCACCGACGUGGACAUUUUCAAGGAGGUGCUGGGCGCCACGCUGCGGGGGGUGGUGGUCUACAUCCUGCUGGACGAGGGCCACUUUGGCAGCUUCCACGCCAUGUCGCGCAGGGCGGGCGUCAACAUCCAAGACCUCAAGAACAUUCGCGUGCGGACGGUGAGAGGUCAGCAGUAUCGCUGCCAGUCGGGCAUCAAGUUUCACGGCGGCUUAGAGCAGCGAUUCAUCCUGGUGGACUGCCGCAGCGUUUUGUACGGAACCUACAGCUACACGUGGUCCUUUGAGAAGAUCAACGUGAGCAUGGUACUGGUGGUCACCGGUCAGCUGGUGAGCUCCUACGACGAAGAGUUCCGCCGCCUCUACGCUCGCUCGAGUGUCCCCGAAGCGCUGCACAAGGAGCGGUCGCACGUGGAGUACCUGAGAGAGGUGGCGCCGCUGCGCGGUCCAAACUCCAGCCAACUUUCGCUGCAUCAACUUCACGUGAGAUCCCGAGGGACUCGCGGUUUCACGGGUUUGGCUCAGGACGAGCUCUUGACCAGGGGCCUCAGCGUACAGGAGCGCCUACAUCUGUCCCACUUUUCCGACCACAUGACAAGGGGCCACAGUUUUGGCGCAGACCUGCAGAAGUUAAGCCCCGUGACUCGGCUAAGGAUGGAGACCAGAGACAUCGGAGCGCCCCUUGUUCCGGACAGGGCCGGCUCUGGUCUCCCGGCGCCCACCAGGAUGUCUCACCAGCAUGUUCGACACCAAGGCCGAUACGGCCCGGACCAGAAUCUAAUCCCUUUCAACUCUGAGACCUCCCUCCACAGGUGGAAGAUGGACACGUACCUGAACAGCCAGGUGAACCUUGACGGAUCGUGCGACGCCUUGUCCCCGCUGACGUCGCCCUACGGCAGCCGCGCGGUCCUGAAUGAGCACCGGCCGCAAGGGAUCAACAACAGAUCCGGGGACAUUAAGAUGCGUCAGAAAAGACUCAGUUAUCAGGAGUACAACAGUCUCAGGCACAGCCAAGAGUCUCUGCGAUCCACAUAUCAAAGUCUGGAUCGGCCCAAAUUCAAGUCUUCGUUUAGAGGCCGAGACGUGCGGCAGAAUGUCGCGGAGGAGGCCGGCGGGCCGGGAGACGCCAACCGCCGAGACCUCGAUUCAAACCGGGCCGACGACGGCGACCGCUCCGCCUCAUACUUUGACAUCCAAACGGGUCCCGAGCAAAAGGCCGGCCCCGCGUACGAAUGGUACGAGCCCAUUGCCAGGACCGCUUCGGCCACCCAACUGGAGGACAAACUCAAAGAGUCCUCCCUCAAGUACCCCGGCGGUCUGCAGCGCCCCAGAACCAUGGAGUCCCUCAUUGAAAUCCCAGAGGAGAAAGAGGUUUGCAGCCAUCCCGUCCUGACCGCCGCUGUUCUCAAAGACCGGAACAGCAGAAAUGAAGACAAGACUUCCAAAAUGUACUUGACUGAGAAAAAUUCCGGAUCUCAGGAGGCAAUGUCGGGGCCUCGAGAAACAAACAAGGCGCCUUCUCCCGAAAAGGGAACUCUUCCAAAGAUCUUAACUGCCGGCGAGCUGAAAGGUCAUCAUCAUCGGGAGGAGUUCCCGCUUCAGCGGAAGAAAUCCAGCCGGCUCAAAGGUUCGGAGGAAAAGAAGGCUUCCAAGAAGGAGGAGAAAUCCCUCCAAAGGAAGGUAUCGCUGCGAUCGCAGAACUCCGGCAGCUCAAACUCGCGGGCGUCUCUUUUGGGAAAAGCGUCUUCCACCGAGCACAGGAGCAGCCAGAGCUCCGCGGUGGAGAACGAAAAGCCAAAGUCUUCCUUCACCUUCCACCGACUGUCCUCUCAACGCUCCAGCAAGCGAAAGUCCAACCCGGCCGCGGCGGGGCCGCAGCAGGGCUCCCGGGAGAAUCUGGAAGAGCAGGGAAAGGCGGCCCACGAGAGCCGGCGGGAAAAGGGCAGCGGUCGCUACGAGUACCUGCUGCAUUCGCGGGUCCCCGCGCACAAAGCCAAGCGAGGAGGCGGGGGGCAACCCCCAAACAGCCCGACGCAAGGCGGCGCCGACAACAGACUGGGACGAUUCAUGCAGCGGGUCGGGAACCUCAUCGGGAAGAACAAGUAGGACGUCGGAAGAAGGCCAAUGGUGUCAGGAGGCUGACCACGGCGUCACUUAAAAGUUAGUUCCUGGGUCUCAAUUUCAAACUUCUUCAUGGCGAUGAAGUACUGGACAAAGGGCUCGCCCAAGGCGCCGCGGAUGACGUGGUCCUCGGCCAGCGCCUCCAGGGCGUCGUCCAGCUUGACGGCGAUGGCAAAUUCCUUCUGCUGAGCGGGCGCCUUGCGCACGCCGCCCUCGAUGCUCAGGUUGCGGCGGAUGCCGUCCAAUCCGGCGGCGGCGGUGGCGGCCAGAACCACGUAGGGGUUGGCCAUGGCCGAGCCCAGCUUGUUGUCGAUGUGGGUCUCGCGGCCUCCGUGGGACUUGACGUUGAAGGAGCUGCUGUUGUCGUUGCAGCCGUAGGUGGCGUACAGCGUCCGCUUGGGGUCCUUGACGGCCUUGGCCAUGUGGCUGCGGCAACCGAGACCCGGCGACAUGAGGCAGCUGAGGGCGGCCGAGUGCGUCAGGAGCCCGGCCAGCCACUUGCGGCCGAUGUCGGACAGCUCACCCGCCGCCGCCUUCUCGCCGCUUUGGAACAGACUCCGCCGCCCGUUGGCGUCCCACAGGCUGUGGGAGAGCACGCCGGCGUUGUAGAGGCCGUCGUCCGUGAAGAAGCUCGCAAUGUAGCUGUGUUUGCGGGCCAUCUCCUUUCAUUUGCGGGACAAAAAACAGAUGCAAAAAAAGGCAUUUCAAAAUAGAUAACCGGAGCAACC